This 505-nucleotide ribosomal RNA is filed under the name uncultured bacterium. RNAcentral's name for it is "partial 16S ribosomal RNA". It matches the Rfam family "Bacterial small subunit ribosomal RNA", at positions 28 to 507 of the family's 1533-position model. The record is from RNAcentral.
GACGAACGCUGGCGGCGUGCCUAAUACAUGCAAGUAGAGCGCACAGUUUAUACCGUAGCUUGCUACACCAUAGACUGUGAGUUGCGAACGGGUGAGUAACGCGUAGGUAACCUGCCUGGUAGCGGGGGAUAACUAUUGGAAACGAUAGCUAAUACCGCAUAAUAUUAAUUAUUGCAUGAUAAUUAAUUGAAAGGUGCAAUUGCACCACUACCAGAUGGACCUGCGUUGUAUUAGCUAGUAGGUGAGGUAACGGCUCACCUAGGCGACGAUACAUAGCCGACCUGAGAGGGUGAUCGGCCACACUGGGACUGAGACACGGCCCAGACUCCUACGGGAGGCAGCAGUAGGGAAUCUUCGGCAAUAGACGAAAGUCUGACCGAGCAACGCCGCGUGAGUGAAGAAGGGUUUCGGAUCGUAAAGCUCUGUUGUAAGAGAAGAACGGGUGUGAGAGUGGAAAGUUCACACUGUGACGGUAUCUUACCAGAAAGGGACGGCUAACUACGUG